ACGAGCAUGCCACCUGUCAGUAAGAUUCCAUUUGCCGAUAUUGAAAAGAGACCGCCUAGAACUCCACGUCCUCCUCCGAAACGCACCGGAGCCGCUCCUGCAACCACCGCUAAUCCAGUAUCUACAGGUGGUGGUCCUCCGCCUCCACCUCCUCCACCAGGUGCUCCCCCACCACCGCCACCACCUGGCGGCCCACCCCGCCCACCUCCUCCACCGGGAACCCUAGCUAGAGGAGCCGGUGGCGGUGAUAAAGUUCAUAGAGCUCCAGAGUUGGUUGAAUUUUACCAAAGUUUGAUGAAACGUGAAGCUAAAAAAGAUACGUCAAUCAUAUCUUCAUCUGCAUCAAACACAGCG
Molecule: long non-coding RNA, 354 nt
Filed under: Lactuca sativa (garden lettuce)
Lineage: Eukaryota; Viridiplantae; Streptophyta; Magnoliopsida; Asterales; Asteraceae
Description: long non-coding RNA (LSAT_LNC008014)
Source: RNAcentral